UGAAAUUAGGCAUUAACUGUACUGCCUCAGGUUUGGAUUAUUGAUUUUCCCUUUUUCUUUUUUUUUUUUCCUGGGAAUUUUAGUUGAAGGGAAAUUUCUAAUCUUUUAUAAUAUCUGUGCAUUUCGAUAGGAGUCAUAUGCAAUACUUAAAGAACCACUGGGGGCUGUUUAUUCUGAAAAUUCUUUUCAAUCUGUUUUAAAUUAUUUUGAUGAUUCGAGCCUGGAGAAUUCGCGAAUCACAAGACAACUCACUGUAAGGUUCCCAUUAUUUCAGUUUCUUGGAAUCCAAUUAAGUUUACUUUUUUAUUAUAUUUCAUUCAACUUAAAUAUUCCCUUUAAUAAUGAUAUCUGCAUUUGCUAGAAUCAUUGAGCAGUAAUGAUGGCAGCAAGCAGGCUGUGGACGGGAAAUCGAUACAGGUGACUGAAACUGGCAUGAAGCUCGGACCGACAGGGAAAAUUCCAAGAAAAAUGAAUUAAUUGGGAGAAAUGGAGCAUAAAUUGAUCCCAAGAAUGAAAAUAAUUCUCAGAAUUCUGAGCACAUAUUGAGCAAAAUUCCUGUGGAGGAAAGGUAUAAUUAUAUUUAGUUUAUUUUCUUCUCAAUUAGUUUUGCUAUCAGUUUAAUGCCUAAUGUUUCAAAUUCAUAAUGUCAUUCAUUUUAAGGUUUGAUACAUACAUUUUUCUUCCUAAUCACGAUCCUAUAAUAAGAACAAGAGAUCUUUGAUACUUACAUUCUUCUUCCUAGGGUCCCGGAUUAUACGUUGUAACGUGACAUGUUUUAGGUCGUCACUGGUCAGCAGGGCGGCCCUGCCCAAAGCAGGCAAGGUCAUUGCCUUGGACCUCAGAUUUUAAGGGGCCUCUAACAAAGAAAGAAAGCCCAGAAACUCCCCAAUCCAAAACCCCUCAAAUCCCUUGAGGGGGGGGGGAAGAAAAAAAAAAGAAACAAACCAUCACCGUCUUUUUCUCCAAGACUCCAACCGGCAAGCAUCUUCAUUCUCCACCAAAAAAUCUCUCUAUUCCAUUGAAUUUUCAGUCUACAAAUCUGAUUUCUGAAGUACCUAUUGGCAGUUGUCUUCUCUUCACGUUUUUGUCAAUUUCUUUUUGUGAUUUGAAUUCCCUUUGCAAAAACCUCGUCUGAAAUAUAACCAUGGAUAUUCUCUUCUUCUGUAAAUCCAAUACACAGACGGUGGACUCGAUCACAAAGUUUGAGAUAAACAAUGGAAUAUGAGGAGAGAAAAAUUUUCCCAGGUAAACUUAUUUAUUGGUUAAACCCUCUCUCUCAAAUUAUGAAUUUCUUUGUUACUACUGGCAUAAAUUCAUUAAUAUUUGUUUCAAAUUUUGUGACUUCAUUGCAUCAAGAUUUUAUAAUUUGAUAUGCCGUGAGCGAUGGAGAGAAGCAAUACUCAUAAUAGGGGCAUUCCAUUAAUCUAUUCGAACUACUGUAAUCAACAAAAUUUAAUUAAAAUCCAACCCACUAAGAAAGAGAAUGAAUUUAUUAAUAUUAUAUUCAUUGAACCCAAUUCAACAAAUAACUGUUGAUUAUUUUAUUUAUUAAAGAAAUGAAGAAAGGAGUGUAACUCAUGUCUUCGCAGAUUUUGAUUGUGUGUGAACUGUGAUGGAACUAAAGAUCAGGCGUUUAACUCAAUAAAGAUGAGGGAGGGCAUUUUGUACAGGAGCAGAUGCGGCUUUAGUGUUAAUUUUUGAGAAUUUCACUUUUGCGUUUUAAAUUUUAAUUAGUAAUAAAUUAAUCUACGCCUGUGUGUUUGUUCCCUGUAAUUUUACCUGAUGGUUUUAAUAUUGGAGCUUCAAGAAAACCCCCCCUUAAUGUGUUGUAAUAGACUUUUUUAUCCUUUUAGUUAUUUGCUCAAGGUAGACUUUUGCUUAUCCUCUAUAACUAUAUAUUUGCAGGCCAUUUGUUAUUGCCGAAUCCUUUAUUUUUGGAGAGGUUUGGAAAAAGUUGAUUUUAGUAGUUUGAUUACUAAUUUUACAUCUCAAAAUAUGAUAAGGUUAAAUUUUAUGCUAGCCUAAUCUCUAGGGUUGUGAGUAAAGUUUUAUUUUACUACUCUAUCUUUUGAAUUUUAUACUCCUCUUUUUAAUAUAAAAGUGUUAAUUAUUUCAAUAUUAAAUAUUAUUACACUUGUAAAUAAAAAUAUUUUGUUGAAGGUCCUCAUAUUAAUUAGUCGCCUGGGGCCUCUAAAUUCUCGAGGCCGGCCCUGCUGGUCAGGCUUCAAAAAUAUGCUUUAAGGGAAUGAAUAAAUUUUCAAUUAUGUAUAUUGUGUAGAAAGGGAGAGAAAAAGAGAAAAGGGGACAGUUAAAAAGGUAGAGUUCUUAAUUCUUAUGUCUGUAUUUUGCAAUGCAUCUAACCAUUGAAACAAUGGUUGGUAUACAAAAGUAGUUUUUGUUAUAGCCUUGCUUCCUGUAGUCUAAACUUUUGGUUCUCUUUCUUUUAUGGGGUUCCUGUUAUGAAACAAAACACGAGUAACCUGGAAAUCUACAAAAGAUGGUAGUAGAGAACAAGGGAAGACUACGACUGAGAAAGAGAACGAACCAACAUUUUUGCUUGAUGCACGUGUUUGUCAUCUUAAGGAUAAGCUCGUAAGAGCAAAGGUUUAUCUUUCCUUCUCUGCGACUCGAAACAAUCCCCAUUUCAUGAGAAAGCUCUGAUUACUUAUGAAGGAAGUCCUACGAACAAUUGGGGAUGCCACAAAGGAUUCCGAGAUAGAAAAAAUAAGCUUUUUUGUUGGAUAUCCUUACUUUUCAAUGUUUAGAGGCUCUCAAGCUUUUGAUGAAAUGGCUUGGAGGUUUUCAUUGUUCUUUUUCAUUUUUCAACAUUCUUUUGUUAUUUUAUACUUCACUUGUUGUGCUCUAAUUUUAGUGCCUACGAGAAGCUAAAAACAAUGGAGCAAACUUUGGUGAAAGGCAAGCAAAUACAAGAUGACUGUGUUGCUGUGUUAGGAAGCUAUGUGCAAUGCUUCAUUUGACAGAAGAACAACUUCGAGCUCACAAAAAGCGGGCCUUGUUUUUUAUGCAUAUAACUGCCAAAACGCUUCCUAAAGGACUUUGUAGUCUUCCUUUGUGCCUAUCAAUAGAGUUUUUCAUGUGGAAUUCUUCUCAGUAACAUUUUUUGAACCAAGAAAAAUUAGUAGAUUCCAAGCUAUAAAGAUAACAUAUUGGCAACAUUAGUUGUAGGGAAUUCAACCACAACUCAUGCAAAGUUAAAAGGAUUAAUUUCUUAUGAAAAUUUCACUCUUUGGUUUUCAGUUCAUUC
RNAcentral lists this long non-coding RNA (3265 nucleotides) under Olea europaea subsp. europaea. Lineage: Eukaryota; Viridiplantae; Streptophyta; Magnoliopsida; Lamiales; Oleaceae. The record is from RNAcentral.